Molecule: ribosomal RNA, 359 nt
Filed under: Saccharomyces x bayanus
Lineage: Eukaryota; Fungi; Ascomycota; Saccharomycetes; Saccharomycetales; Saccharomycetaceae
Description: Saccharomyces bayanus ribosomal RNA
Source: RNAcentral
AAGAAAUUUAAUAAUUUUGAUAUUGGAUUUUUUUGUUUUGGCAAGAGCGUGAGAGCUUUUACUGGGCAAGAAGACAAGAGAUGGAGAGUCCAGCCGGGCCUGCGCUUAAGUGCGCGGUCUUGCUAGGCUUGCAAAUUUCUUUCUUGCUAUUCCAAACAGUGAGACUUCUCUGUUUUUGUUAUAGGACAAUUAAAACCGUUUCAAUACAACACACUGUGGAGUUUUUAUACUUUUGCAACUUUUUCUUUGGGCUUCGAGCAAUCGAGCCCAGAGGUAACAAACACAAACAAUUUUAUUUAUUCAUUAAAUUUUUGUCAAAAACAAGAAUUUUCGUAACUGGAAAUUUUAAAAAUAAUUAA